AACUUUCAACAACGGAUCUCUUGGUUCUGGCAUCGAUGAAGAACGCAGCGAAAUGCGAUAAGUAAUGUGAAUUGCAGAAUUCAGUGAAUCAUCGAAUCUUUGAACGCACAUUGCGCCCCUUGGUAUUCCGAGGGGCAUGCCUGUUCGAGCGUCAUUAC
This 158-nucleotide ribosomal RNA is filed under the name Hyaloscypha cf. hepaticicola. RNAcentral describes it as "Pezoloma cf. ericae 5.8S ribosomal RNA". It matches the Rfam family "5.8S ribosomal RNA". From Rfam's summary of the family: 5.8S ribosomal RNA (5.8S rRNA) is a component of the large subunit of the eukaryotic ribosome. Lineage: Eukaryota; Fungi; Ascomycota; Leotiomycetes; Helotiales; Hyaloscyphaceae. The record is from RNAcentral.